This 437-nucleotide RNase MRP RNA is filed under the name Exserohilum turcica Et28A. RNAcentral's name for it is "Setosphaeria turcica Et28A RNase MRP". It matches the Rfam family "RNase MRP". Rfam says of the family: RNase MRP is an enzymatically active ribonucleoprotein with two distinct roles in eukaryotes. In mitochondria it plays a direct role in the initiation of mitochondrial DNA replication. The record is from Rfam by way of RNAcentral. Lineage: Eukaryota; Fungi; Ascomycota; Dothideomycetes; Pleosporales; Pleosporaceae.
UCCUCGCUCGAAGAAUCGCAACGAAGCACACGCACAGAGCGCACCCGGUGCGUCUCGCCUCGGCAUGCUUUGGGAGAAAGUCCCCGGACAUCGGUCUUCGCGAUCGCACUUUCAGCAACGAACCGCCAUAGAAGCAGCGGCUUCCACCACCGACUACGGCGCCUUUCCGCGUCUCUUUAUCCGCCUGCACUCUUGUCCAUCGGUUCUCCUGACGCUGCGGGUGGAGGGGCUGGCACCUGGAUGAUGACACGAGUCCGUUGGCUACCUUGCUCGCGUGCCCAAGGUGGCUGGGGAUAGGAGGAGGAGGGAGAUGGCGGCGAGUGCCAGGUAUGGAGGGUCGUCUCGUCCAGUUUAUGGUUAUGCGAUUGCCUUUCGUGCGCUUUGGCAACACAAGGCGCGCUGGAGGUAACUCAAUGGGGCUCAUUCUCGACGCGAGG